CAGAUAAGAGAGCUGCUGCAGUACAGUGGAUUGCCAGCAGCGUUAUCCCUUUGGUACUGGUCCUUCAGGGUUGUCAUGAGGGCUGAUAUUGUGGAAGAAAUUUCCAGAUUCUCACCAUUAAGUUCAGCCCACAGUUGUGACCCAGCCUUGACCUAUAUCUCACACGCUGCCUCUGCAUAUUAUGAAAUCCCAACUUCAGGCUAGAAGGAAUCCACAGAUAUCAACCAGAUCAACCCCACAAUCCUAUAACAAUAUGAAGAGAUAUGUAGAUUUGCACCACCACCUCCUGAUAUGUGCCUAUGACUUUCACGCAAUGCUAGUGAGUUAGGGAGGGGGUUGGAAUCACAUUUCCUAGCAACAAAAAUAUAGCAGCUGAAAAGGCUGUAGCUUGAAGAAAAACAUCUGAUGCAACAAGUGAACAACAUCUGCACAUUUAUUGUACCCCCACAAAAAGCUAAUAAUUUGCAAAGGCUAUUCCUUCCAUGUAAGAGGUUUGAGACUGGGGUGUGCUGGUAAAUGUUUAACAACCGGCUCUCCAGAAAAAAAAGUAUGCAUAUAUAUACAUACAUAAGUAGGGUACUUCCAGACGAGUGUCAGUGUGUUUGUAGCAGCAGAAGUUUUGUGGCACCUUAAAGACCAACACAUUUGUGAUGGCAUAAGCCAAAGGUAGCCAACGUGGUGUCUUCCAGUUGUUGUUGGACUAUGAUCAGCCCCAUCCAGCUUGGUCAAUGAUCAGGAAUGAUUACUGUAGCCCAGCAAGAUCUAGAGGGCACAACUUUGGCUACCCCGAUCUACUUGGCUUCCACUGAGCUAUGGCCCUCCUAAAAGCAGCAGUGAGGAACCUGUGGCCCUAAAGAUACUGGACUCCAGCUCUCAUCAGCCUCAACCAGCAUGUCCAAUGGUCAGGGACGAUGGGAGUCGCUGUCCAAUAAUAUCUGGAGGGUGCCAUGUUGGCUAUCCCUGGCAUAGGCUUUCAUGGACUAGGCACCUUCUUAUCUUCCGGUAUGGUAAAUGCUAUCAUAUGCCAACAACACCCUUCUGUGUUCUACCUAGGACGAACAAGCUGGCCGCUACACAAACUAAUAAAUGGGUACAUAUGUGGCAUCAGA
This is a long non-coding RNA of Rhineura floridana, 1109 nucleotides long. RefSeq lists it as uncharacterized. The transcript has 3 exons. The record is from RefSeq and is a predicted model, not a curated record. NCBI's taxonomy places the organism in Eukaryota, Metazoa, Chordata, Lepidosauria, Squamata, Rhineuridae.